Seriola dumerili (greater amberjack) is the source of this 1195-nucleotide RNA transcript. It is a transcript of the gene named probable bifunctional methylenetetrahydrofolate dehydrogenase/cyclohydrolase 2, with no coding region annotated. The transcript has 10 exons. The record is from RefSeq and is a predicted model, not a curated record. Lineage: Eukaryota; Metazoa; Chordata; Actinopteri; Carangiformes; Carangidae.
GUAGCCCGUUAACGUUACACCAUCACUGCUGUCGGGCCAAACUGCGGAUGCACAGAAAAUGCGAGAGUCAAAGGAGACAUCUACAACAGUCGGCGACGAGGCAUGCUGCUGUGGUGAUUUCGGGGACAGAGUUGGCUCGUCAGCUCCACAGAGAAAUCCAACGUGAUGUGGAAGAGCUGGUGGCUCAGGGCAACAUGAGGCCCCACCUAGGAGUGGUCUUAGUUGGGGACGACCCAGCCAGUCGUACAUAUGUUAAGAACAAGACCCGGGCAGCCAGCAUCCUGGGUAUUUCCAGUGAUACAGUGGUGCGACCUAGCUCCGUCUCCCAGGAGGAGUUGCUGGAGCUGAUUGACAAGAUGAACCGUGACUGGAGGGUCAGCGGCCUGUUGGUGCAGCUGCCACUUCCCGAGCACAUCAAUGAGCGGGCAGUGUGUAAUGCCAUCGCUCCAGAGAAGGAUGUGGAUGGUUUCCAUAUUGUGAAUAUUGGGAAGCUGUGUCUGGACCAGAGAUCCAUGGUGCCUGCCACGCCUGCAGCUGUCUGGGAGAUCAUCAAAAGAGCAGGUAUUGAGACAGUUGGGAAGAAUGUGCUGGUUGCUGGUCGCUCCAAAAACGUUGGAAUGCCCAUCGCAAUGUUGCUGCACACUGAUCGCAACCAUGAACGCCCUGGAGGUGAUGCCACAGUGACCAUUGCCCACAGAUGUACACCGAGGGAGCGGCUGAAGGAGCUCACCAGCCUGGCUGACAUCAUUAUUGCAGCUGCAGGUGUUCCCGGGCUGAUCACAGCAGAUAUGGUGAAAGAAGGCGCAGCAGUCAUCGAUGUGGGCAUUAAUCGCAUCCAGGACCCGAACACGGGGAAAGUGCGGCUCAUUGGUGAUGUGGACUUUGAGGGCAGAAGGAGUCGAGCCCAUAACAUCAGACGUCACACCAGCAGGAAAGAAGAUGUUUGCACAAAGACAGACGUACCUGGAGAAGGCCCUGCACUCAGCAGUGGCAGUGCUGCUUCUCCUGACCACAGCGGGACAAUCUGCAGUUGUGACUGACAACCUCCAGACCACAGCGACUCCUCUCCUGUCAAAUGCAUCUCUCGCCACAGAGCUCAACAACAGCAGUAUGGACGAACCUCUAGUGCUGCGCUCACACAGAUCCUGUGGAAGCGAACAUGAAAAUUACUGUGAAAAUGGUGGCGAGUGCAUGU